Homo sapiens (human) is the source of this 15365-nucleotide long non-coding RNA. RefSeq lists it as uncharacterized. The record is from RefSeq and is a predicted model, not a curated record. The transcript is spliced from 8 exons. Lineage: Eukaryota; Metazoa; Chordata; Mammalia; Primates; Hominidae.
CUCGCAGAUGGAAUUCAAAUACCUGUCGUGUUCAAGACAGCCCCAUGGGGAUUAUAGGUGGAUGUCAGAACUAUACCCAGAUUCAGACAUGUGACACUUUCGGGCUGAAGCACUUAAGAGCCAGUGUGCCCUGUCCAUUUCUGUCUUCUGUCCUGUGGAUUUGGAAGCAUGUGUUGACAGAACAAUGUCUUAUGGUGAAGGAAGCCUAAACCCCUGAGUCAUUGGAUGGAGGAGAGCCCAUGUUGACCCAUAAAGGACUUCAUGGUCUCGCUCUGUCACCCAGGCUGGAGUGCAGGCGUGCUAUCUUGGCUCACUGCAACUUCUGCUUCCCGAGUUCAAGAGAUCCUCAUACCUCAGCCUCCUGAGUAGCCGGGACUACAGGCAUGCGCCACCACACCCAGAUAUGACUUAGAAUAUGAUUGAAUAUGAAUACAUGAUUGAAGAUAUAUUAUAAAAUUGAGAUACUUGUUGCAACACAACAGGGAAAUGAAUACAGAAGGGCUCAAAGUAUUUUAUAGAGGGUAUACGAGCAAUUUGACGUCGCAGAAAACCUGUCAGAAAGAAGCACCAUGGAAUAGAGGAAAGAGGCCCGGAAUCCAGCCCCGGGAACUGUGACAGCCUCUGGGGUGGGGACUCUCGUGGAAAGGCUAGAUGAUGGAGUCACGUGCUCCCUUCCCGUUCACUAGCUGCUGAUUGGCCAACUGCUCCUGCCAGCUGUCCCUGCACUCCAGCUUCCUACCAUAUGCUCCAGAAUAACGUCUGGAAAGUGAGCCCCAUCCAUCAAGUUUGUCACACCUUGCACUCAAUCUGCUACCUUCUCUACAGUGUAAUGGCAUUAUUAAAAAUCAUUUUCAUUAACAUUUAUAUUUACAAAAAAAAGACAAUUUUUUUUCAUUAGAACUCCUUAAAGCCAUUUCCCUUAAAUAUUUAAAGAGUUUAAUGGUAAGGUUUUUUUUUCAAGUUAUAAAAUAAAAAUCCCAUUUGAAUUUUCUGAUGUACAAAAAGAGAUAGAGAUGAACCAUUUGGACCACAGAAUCAGUUUGUUAUUCUGAAUAUUUAUGCCACCAUUGUUCCAUUAGAAAGUUGGUUUUUAAGAUCCAAAACCACAUUACCAGAAUUGUACCAGAAUUAUUUGGCAAAUGACUUUUCUUUGAAAAUGGCACGUGGAGAAGACACUUGUCUGCAUAGCAACACAGCAGCAAGAUAUCGGAAAAAUAAAAAAUAUCAUUUUAUUGUACUUAGAGUUUAGAGCUUCUUAAGAAAUCAGAUGCAUUUUUCAUCUUUCUCAUCAAUGGGAUCUGAUGUCUUUUCCUACUCACAGAAUGAAGGUUCGUACUGAAAGCUGUCUUUCUUCACCAGGAUGCAGAAUAGCUAAAGGACUGUUUUGGCAACAUUCGUGAUCAUAAUGAAUAAUCAACCACUUAUUUGUCUUGUAAUUUCAAGUUAAUUCAUUUCACUGAGGCUUUUUUUCUCCCCAGUUAGAUUUCUUCACCCAUAUCUAAAAAAAGUCAAAAGCAAUACAAAAAUUUGUACACCUAUUAAUUUUCAAACAUGACAAAAAAAGGAAAGGGGGGAAAAUGGCAGACCAGGCCCCAUGGAGUGACAAAAAACACAUCAUCCUAUGUGAAAAGGCAUAUGGAUGACGAUAUUGUGGUCACAGAAGACCCUUUGCUUUUGCUUAAAGAAGUCAGUUCCAACCCUGUUGUAAUCCUCUGAUGCCUGUCACUCCAAAUUUGGUGUCUCAACAGUGGUCAACAGGUAGAGAAAUAAAAAGGGAAUUAAUAAUUUUGCACACUGAGUCAUCUUAAACCCAGCUAUGAGGGCUCAAAUAUUUGUUGGGUAAGCAUUUGCUUGAUUUCUGAUUUAAUGUUGGGUGGAUCUUUCUAUACUUUUUUUGUGUGCUGCCAUAGAUAUCUGCCAUUGGUUGCCAAAAAUGCUUAGUUCCCUCUUCUGAGCGAGUUCCAUUGGGCAAUCAUGAAUUUCUUGUGGGAAGAGGUGAAAGAAUACAAGAGAGCCUGUCGUGAUGCUGAUGUCCAUGCCAGUCUUGAGCACCCACCACGAGCUCGCAUCGAUGCUAUUUCUUAGGUCUGUUGAUCUGCGCGUACAGAGGCUCUGGCUCCUGUGGAUAAAGGAACAAAAUUUGUCCACGUCUCUGCCCUGCUUCAAAUCCUUCAGAGGCUCCCCAUCACCCACAGGGAUGAUCUUUCUGAAAUGGAUUUGGCCAUGCCAGUCUCCUGCCUGAAACAGCCCUCCUGGCUCCUUGUCACUCAAAGGAAAAGGCAAACUCCUCAAGACUGCACAUAAUGCCCACCUUCCCAACCAGCCUCUCCUACUGCCACUCUCUCUCCUACACCCUACCUUCCAAACCCUACUUGGGGUUCACCCUCACAUGCUGGAGUUUUCCCAUCUCUGAGACUUCAUUCAGGCAGUUCCUUCUGGCUUCGGAGGCUUCUUUGUUCCUAAAGUUCAUACUUUAAGACCUAGCUGAAAUAUCAAGGCUUCCUGGACUCUGCAGGUGACACGAGCCACUGUGCUCCUGGAUGCUUCAGAACCUGUGCAGAUCUCUGUCUUCACUCCUACUAUGGCAUCUCCUAGCAUGUUCUACACUGAGCUCCACUGGGCCUUGCAUGUCAGUAUCCCGAAUUCUGAAUGAAGCUUGGAACAUGGGAGGUGCAUCCACUAACAACAUGAAGAAUGAAGACAUGUGUGAGUAAAUGAACAGUUCUCUUCUUAGUGGAAGUUGGCAAAUAGUUGUGAACUUUAAUAUGAUUCUGACAUAUUAAUAUCUUUAUUUUUAGAUAACAGAGUAGAUGGAAACCAUAUGGUAAAACCUAAAGCAAAAUCCACCCUCUAACCUUUCUGUAAGUGAAACACCCAAUUUUCUCGAAGGUGCAGUAAAAGAGCUAAAGCACAGGAGACUAAGUCAUGCAGGCCUAGCUUAGUGUUCUCCUGCCAAUGAUCUGCUGCAAAGACCACCAGGGACACAUCUGUAGUUGAACAUGUUGGGUUAUUCCUCAGCGCAGAGGGAGGAGCAAUGAGGCAUCUCUGAAAGAGGGUGUUAGAAAGAAUGUAUCACAAGAUUUGGGCUUAAGGUAAGUAAUUUUGGGGAUGGUCAACAAAGUGGGGUUUUUCUCUGAAUUGGAUGCUGUCAUAAUGUGGGGGUAAUUCUGUGAUUAUCCCAACAAUACUUAUCUGGAAGGCAAGAAGAACAGAGCAAGGCUGAAACCAGGCUAGAGAAAUGUUUGAUCAGUUUUCCAAUUUUGACAAUGUUCAUGUUUUGCCUGUGUUCAGCCAUGAUGACCUGGUGGUCUUGAUUUUGUCUUGACCUAUCAUGGUCACUAAGUGGCCUUGCCUUAUGCUGAUGGUAUGUGAAAUGUUGAUGUUCAACAGGAGAAUGCCAGCACCUUGCUGUGGGGGUGGGCCUGCCCCUGACUGUCAGAGGCUGCUGUUCUUUUUCUUACCAUCACACAUUUAGCAGCCCUAGGAUUCUGUGCAGGGUACUUAACGUCUUUGGGUGCCAGUUUCCUCAUCUGUAAAAUGAGGCUAGAAAUACCCUCUGUGAAGGAGAAAACAUGUUGAUUGUCUAGCACAGAGUCUGAAACAUAGGAGAUACUCCAAAAAACAUUAGGUCCCUUAUGUCUGGGAGUGUGGCUUUAUCCUCCCUUUAUAGACAAUGGUUUUAGGCCUAAUAAUCACCUGUGGGUUUCUUUUCAAAUGGCCUCUCCUUCAUAGCACAUAGGUGCAAUUGCAGAUGAGCUCUCAGUUAUUAAUAAAAGAAUGGUGCUGGACCAGCCUAGGAAAAUUGUGCAGAAUGAAUGUGGAGUUAAUGCAAACAACCUGGCUGCAGGGCCCUGUGGAUAACAGAAACUUCCACCGUUUGCAGACUACUCCACAUGUCCUUUAACUAUCUAUGAAUUAUGUGCUCGACUACAGCAGCCAAGUGGACUCACAGAACUGGAGUAAUAAUGGUAUAUCUCUACAGAAACUUUUACAGUUUAUAUACGGUCUUUCCAAUGUCACAUAGUCUUACUUGAGCUACACACCAGGACUGUGCCUUUAGAGCUCCUGUCUUCAUUUUACAGCAAAGAAACCUGGGCUCCCUGCAGUUGGGUGACCUGUGCAGUUACUCAGCCAGCACACAGCAGAGCUGGGACAUACUGCUUUUUUUUUUUAAUCUUUUUUAGAUUUUUAUUUGUGGUGAAACAUAAACAACAUAACCUUUGCCAUUUUAACCACGUUUAAGUGUACAAUUCAGCAGCAUUAAUUACAUUCACAAUGUUGUGCAACCAUCAGCAUCAUUUCCAGAACUCUUUCAUCACCCCAAACAGAAACUCUGUACCCAUUAAGCAAUUAACUCCCCAUUCAUUCCCCAAAUCCCCAGCCCUAGUCUAAUCUACUUUCCAUCUCCACGAUUUUACCUAGUCUUGUUUUUAAAUCAAUUUCAGUGAGGUAUAAUUUACAUACAAUGAAAUGUACCCAUUUUAAAUGUACAGUUUAAUGAACUUGACAAAUAUAUACACCCAUGUCAGCUAUAGAGCAUUUCUUCACCCUAAAGACUUCUCUUGUGCCUUCUCAGUCAACUCCCUAUCUCAGUGCCAGCUCUGAUCUGCUUUUGAUUGCUAUAGACUAGGUUUGUUUUUUCUAGAGUUUCAUGUAAACAUACUCAGGUCUUUUUAAGCCUACUAUCCUCUCCACUACCACGUGUUCCCUCUCAUAGAAGGUUGAAGCUGGAAGGGCCCUCACACCUACAGCUCCUUUUCCGCAUGAAGAAACUGAAGCCCCAGACACAAGGGGUACUUUCCCAAAGCUAUACAGGAGACAGUGGAGAGCCAGGGAGCAGCUCAGGGUUCAGACUCCCAUUUCUGUGCUGGUUUCCUUGCUUUCUUCUCCCAGCCCCAGCUCUUUGGCAUGAAGUAUAAGGGCAAAUGGUUUCCUAUGUCACAUUAUAACAAGACGCUCUUGGAAGCUACCUAAAUUGUGCUGAUUACUUUCUGCCCAUUUAAUAUUUCUUGUAUUUGUUUUUGGAAAGAUUGACUACCUUUGACAAAAGUAUGUCAAAAGCAAUACAUCUUACUAGUGGAGCGAAGACACUGCAUGCUGACAAAGGUGAUCUCAGAUGUGAGGUCGAUGGUGCGCCAUGCAAUCAGCUUGCUGAGUGAGCCUACUUAUGCCCCAUCCCGGGGGCCUAGGGUAAGAAAAGUGCCAAGCGAAGCUGAGGAUCAGACUAAAGCUGGAAGGUGAGUCAAAGCUUGAGUCCCUCAGCAUUACCCUGCCCAGGCAGCAACUUCAGCCUCAUGGUCUUUUAGCCCUAAAACUUAGGACUAGCUCAGUGGGAGUUUUACAUUCCUUGGCUUGACAAAUGAAAAAGGUAUUGGUAGUCAGAGGGGAAAAAGGCUAAAAUAACUCAAAGUUCUAUCUGAAUCCAUGUGGAGGGUCAGGAAAAAUGCAUGGGUUUGGGGAGCCAGAAAGACCCCAGAAAUCCUCCUAACUUCCGAUAUGAACUUAGGCGAGCAUCUCACCUAUCUGCACCCCAGUUCCUUCAUUUGUAAAGUGGAGGGAAUAACAUCUACCUCAUGGGACUGUGACAAGUUACAAGUGAGCUCGUAUAACAUGAAGUAUCUUAAAUGCUGGCAGCCUUCUUUUUCUUUAUAUUCAAACAAAAGGAAAAACAAAGCUUUCUGGCCACUUUGAGUCUGAAAGUCUGGCUGUUAGGGUAGAAAAGUCUUCUAAACACUGAAUGGAUUUGAUGAUAAUCCCUUAGGGAUUGACACUGCCGAAUGCCCUUGUUCCUGGGGUCUUGGGUGCUGAAAUCCGCUUGGUGCAUACAGAGAUGCACCACCUGAGUUUCGAGGCAACUGUGCAUGUUCUGAAGAACAUUCUAUUUCCCCGUCAAUAAUAACAACAAUGAUGGGCAUCAAUGAUCUGUUUUGCACAUGUACAUCAUCUUUUUUGGCCUUGUUAUAUAACAGAUGAUGACGCUGAAAUUGCUGACACUAAUUAUCUACCAUAAGCAGGAAGGCCUUUUCUGAGUAAGCUCCUGGUUACUGGGAGCAGGUUGCAUCUAGGACUGAUAGUCUCUGGGGAUCCUAAUGAAGUCAGCGUAUUUUAGGGAUUUCUGUCUUCUCCUUUGUUAGAUGGGAAUAGAGACAGCCUGAGGGAGAGAUGCUGCUGGAAGAUCUUAUUUGGGGAUUGGUUCCAUGCUGUAGCUGGGUGACUUUGGGCAAGUUAGAUGGUCUUAAAAUGUCAGAGCUGGAAGGACCUGUGGGAACUGUUUUACAGAAAAGGAAACCAAAGGUCAGAAAUGAAACCAUCUGCCUCAUAUCACACAGCUAAAUUGAUGUGAUGCUAUUAAAACCCAGGUGUCCUUCCUGAUUCUGUUUGAGUGUGUUUGAAUUACUUAAUCUGGGUCUAGAUUCAAAUCCUGGUGCUAUUACAUGUGAAUCUCAGGAUUUUAGCAAGUUGUUAAACUCUCUACCUUGUCUGCAAUAUUUGUGAAAUGGGAAUAAUAAAAAUACCUGAGUGUUCCUGUGAGGAUUAAAUUAGGUGAUGCUAGUAAUUUUAAAAUAUAUCUUAUUAUUAUUAGUAAGUGAAAGGUAUCAUGAUUACCUUCUGCAGUGGUUCUAGAAACAGUGAGCCUGAUCUAAUUCUGUUAGCCAAUUCUGGUAGCUGCCUGUGUUUGUAAAUAAAGUCUUAUUAGAACACAGCUACAUUCAUUCAUUUAUGUAUCAUCUUUUGCUGCUUUCCUGUGACAAUGGUAGAGUAGCUGUAAUAGAGACAGUAUGGCCCACAAGGCACACAUAUUUACAGAGAGUUUGGCAACUUCUGGUUAGAUGAUCUGUGUAUUCUACUUGCACUCACUACUCCAAUGGCUGAAACCCAUAUGGAAAUCUCCAUGUCUAGCCUUGAUUUCUCUUUUGAUCUCCAGAGGUUGUAUCCAGCAGCCUACUGGCAUCUCUACUUGGAAGUCUCAUGGGCACCUUGAGUUCAGUUGGUCCCAAAGUAAACUUGUCUUCUUUCUGCUCAAACAUGCUGCUUGUGUUCCUUAGCACAGUGACUGGCACCAUGUAGAUCCCCAUGCCAGGAACCUGGGUGUCAUCCUACCUUAUGUCCUCUUCCUCACCUCCCAUGUCUCUUCGGUCUUAACCUUCUGUUGAUUUCAGCUUUUAAACAUCUCUUGGCACUAUGCCUGAGGUCUUGGCUGACACUGCCCUUAGCUAGACCCUGGUCAUCUUCUGCCUGAUCCAGUGCCAUCACUUUCUAGCUACAGGACCUCGACAGGGAGUCUGUUCAUAAAGGUCCAAGGAAGUGGGACACUGUGCCCUCCAAAAACUUAGGUUGGACUUGUCAUUGAGUUCUGUGUCCAUAAAAUAGGUCAUUUUCUGUUGUUUUGUGGUUCUUUAUUUUAAGGGUCUGUUGUUUGGUUGUAUUUAAAAAGAGAAUGGUAAUAAUAAUCCCAAAUACAUGUACUUUACUUUCAAAGCUUAUAAAACACUUUCAUACUUAUGAUAUUAUUUGAUUCUUGGACAGCUUGGGGAGAGAGCUAUUGCAAUUAUCUGUAUUUAUCCAUAUGAAAGGAUGUAUGCUUACCUAAGGUGACCUGCUUUGGAAGUAGAAAUCAGACCUAAGGCCCCUGACUCUGUGUUUUGUUUCUUCCUUUCUUUCCUUUUCUUCCCUUCCCUCCCUACCUCCUUUUUUUUCUCUCUCUCUCUUCCUCUCUCACUCUCUUAAGAUUCGUCUUCCCAAAGCAUCUGAGGUUUCAGCUUUCUUUUCCCUUGAACACUAGAAAUCCAUCAGGUAAUAUGUUAUAUGUCUUGCAUUCCCACCACGAAGAUCAGUAUUAAAAAAUGACAGCAACUUAUUAUUUAUGGCAAUAUCUAUUGUUACUAAGGGAGGCAGACCAAACAAUUCCCCAUUGUUACAGAUGCUACUCUGACUUGACAGCUGGGAAAGUCUGAUAGGCAGUUUAUUUACUUAGCCAUUUAACCAAAUAAAUGUUUUCAUUUUUCUUUCAUCUCCUCAAAAGCUAACAUUUCGUCCUCAAAAUUGCUCCAGCAACACAUCAGUGAAGUAUAAAUUACCUGCCAUUCCCAUACCAGUCAUUAUAAUAUUAUUUUGGUUCUUUUUUGCCCUUGUUGACCCAGUCUUUCAAAGACACGUGAUUCUCCCAGAUGGGAGGGUAGGGGGAAAAAAGUGAAGUAAUUGAAGAUACUUUCCUUUAUUGCUAAAACAGCACUGCUGUUUGAGAUUGGCCCUGAAGCUUCCACCUGUGGGGAUUGAGUCCGUCUGUUUCCUCUUACUAUGGUGUGAUAUGGCUUUAGCUUAUCAACAGAUGUCAUCCCUACUUACUCAGAACUGUGCAGGUAUUUCUAAUAAAAAACAGCUGGUGAUAAUGGUUGCAAGGGUGAUAAGAGAGACAGGACUCUUGCUUUCCAACCAUAUGAAAGCAGAGGGGAAAAAAUAAAGCCAUGGACAUAACUUUCCCUGCAUGGUCUCUCUUCUCCAAAUGUUUGGAAAGGCACUAAGAAAUUGCAGUCAGUAAAUUUUCAGUUGGGUGGAUGGGGGAAUGGGAUGGAGAUGGAAAGAUUAAAUGUGUCUUGUGCUGCUGUCGAUGGAGGGACCCAGAAUGGCUCUCCCAGACGUCCCCCAUGUGUGUCAUAGUGGCUAUGUCUGCAAAGCUGGCAUCUGCCCCUUGGCACUUGAAUCUUGAUAACUGUGAAGUGGCCAGGCUAAGCUUUCAAAGGGAGAAAAUUACUUCACCGAAGAUUACAGUCCAGCCCUCCUCUGGAGCUGGGAGGUACUUAUUUUGACUUGCAUGUGAUUCUAAGACAGCCCAUUUUUUGGCAGUGAGCUGUGUGAGGCCCAAACCAGGGCCAUUCUGAUUAUGGGGUGGGGCAAGCCAGAGAGCUAAGCAGCAGGCUUUUUUCUUUUUUUCCCUUCCAAAGCUGUUGUGACACAUAUUGAAAAUUAAUUAUCUGAAGACAAAGUACAAAGCAAAACCUCCCAACCAAUGGUCUUAUACAUGAAAGCUAAAUGUAUAAAAUCCAAGAGAGUGGGGAGCGUGCAUUAAUUGGAUAUAUGUGAUGAUGAUAAUGAUGAUGAUAAUGAUGAUGGUGAUGGUGAUGAUGAGGGUAGCUAGCAUCUAUUAGGUGCUUUCUAUGUGCUAUACACAGUGCUAAGAGCUUCACAUAUAUCACUUUAUUUAGUUCACAUAAUAACCCUAUGAGGUGGACACUAUUUUUAUCCUUAUUUUUCAAAUGAAGAAAAUAAGAUAGAGAAUAAUUAUAAAAUCACAGCAGUGUCACAUAGCCAGGAAGUGGUGGAGCCAGAUGCUGAACUCAAACAAUGUUGUUCCAGAACCUAGAUAUUUUUUUUAAGCUGAAUUUUAAGCUGAUUACUCAGUGUCUGUCUCUGCGCUAGAUACUCAACAUAAACUAUCUCAGUUACCAUUAUGGAGAAUAUAAGCCCCUUCUAGCAGAUGAAGAAACCAAGACUCAAAUUUUGGUUCUUGCCCAAGAUUUCCCACUAUUAAGUAGCUGAGUUAGGAUUUAAACUCAAGUCCAAAUCCUGAGUUCUUCCCACACUACUAUGCUAUGUCCAUUUACAGCUCAGCUGUGGCUUGGGGUACUGGACAGAGCAUUAAAUGUGGAACAGACCAAAGCCCCAUGAAACAGUUUGGCUUGUAGGAUUGUCUCAAGCUGAACAGGUUCAUAAAGAUGAGGGUUUAAUACAUUGAUCUGCAAAUGGUGUAAGUCAUCUUUGUUUUCUAGAAGAACUUCAAUUUUAGGAUGAUGUUUGCUGUUAUCCUGAUGAAUGGCUCUUGUCACCUCUAGUUUAUUCACCAAAUUUUUCAAGGCAAGGUUGAGCACGUGAAAUACAACUUAGGCGGGGGGUAAAAUACCUCGUGGGGAAUCAUCCCAAGGAGUCUGCCUAUAGUCCCCAACUUUUCUUUUUCCUGAAACAUUGACUUUGCUUUCAAUAUAUCAACUCCCGAAGUAGCUUUGCAAGAGUGAACUUCUAAGUGAAUCGUAGGUGGUUUUGCAUGGCAUGACAUAUUAUUAUGUGCUAUUGCACUGAUACAAAAUGUGGCAACCUACACAGUGUGUUAGGUUCUUUAAUAAAAAUACCUGUUAACAAAAUACACUUUCAAAAUACCAUAUUAGCUUUCAGUAACUGUCUAACUUACGUGUGGGCUAAGACUAAUUCUGAGGUAGCCUCAGAAUCCAUUUAUGAGGUAGCCUCCGAAUCCAUUUAUGAGUGGAGAAAACUGUUUACCAUUUUAAUGGUUUUGACCAUGCUGUUCAGAACUUAAAAAAGGAGCCUUUUGGGAAUGGCCUUGCAGUCCUGUGUGUUUAUAGAAAACUAAGAAGGUAUCUGAAAAUUGAACACGUUUGUCAAGAAGUGACCUUAGAAAUCAUGUCUGGGUAACAAGGUGUACUUCUGUCUCCUAAGAAGGUUUGCUUCAUCAGCUCCUCUUUCUUUCGAUCAAAUCAGAUGUAUUGAAAUUCAAGUGCCAAAAGCCACUUCUAGUAAAUGUAAGUACAUCUCUCUCAAAGUAGCUGCUGAUGGAAUCUGAAGUGAUUUGGUGGCAAUCCACAUGCUGCAGCACAGGUGCAAACAGCACAGCCUCAGAAGUGAGUGCUACACAUCUCUGGGCUUUGAAUUUCACAUCAGAAAGGAUGCAGGGUGCAGGGUCCUUUCUGGCUAGACGAAAAGGGCUUCCUCUGAUCUUACAUCUCGAUCAAUCUUAUUUCAAGCACUGCUUGUUUUUGCUUCUUAGUCUGGCUUCUCUGUGUGUUUGAUUGGUGACCUCUUUAGAUCUGCAGACUGUAGGCAAAUGCAGUGACAUUUUGCUUAAAAGAUUAAAGCAUCUGGACCAUGGCUCACUGAGAAAUUAUCAGGGUGGGCAGAAUGUGUCCAUCUCAAAAUGUUGAUGCUUCCAGAAACUAAAUGCAUGCUAAGUAGCAUGGACCAUGCCUCAUUCUAUCACCACCAACCACGCAGAACAUAUUAUUAAUAAAAUAAUAUGAUCAGUUCCCACUUCUCACCCCUACCCCUACCUCCCAGGAUAUGUCAAAGGUCAUGCAUCCAUGAGAAAAGGCAAAGUAGAACGUAGACACCAGGCAAAGGGACAUGGUGCAGACACUGGUGAUAUAGCUCAGGCAAGAAGAAAUAGUGCAAACAUCAGGAAUACAGUUCAGGGAAGGAGCGAUGGUGCAAACAUCAGCAAUACAGCUCAGGCAAGGAGACAUGGUGCAAACAUUGAGGAUGUGGCUUCAGAAGUGAAGAACAACCAAAAGGGAAAGCAGAUAGCUUAAGGGUAAAGGAGAUAAAAAGGACAGAUACCUACCCAGACCUGCGCUAUCUAGCUACCGGCCUGUGGACUUAUAUUAUCACCACUGGGCUCCCCACUGGGCUCACCAAAUGGAUCACUGUUGGAUGAGGCCUGUGAUCCAUCAGGCUAGAACACAAGAAGAUAAUACUUUUUUUUUUCUCUCUUUUCAAGCAUUGAAAAUAUAAGACACCUGGAUAUACUUUCAUGCAGCACAAUCAGUUAUUGUAAAGGAGGGUGCAACGGCAUUUAGAGGAUGCUACACCACAAAUGUGGACUUGUAGUAACAAUUUAAUAAAAAGGCAGUCCUUUUCAGCUGACUCAUUUGAACACAAAAGAAAGCCCCUUUAGCAACCCCUUGAGAACUUAUGAGAUUGAGCCAGCAUUCUUUUCUAUGUAGGCUUCCUCAUGCAUUAUCCAUUUCAGUUACAGAGGUCUUAAUUUUAAGGAAAAACACAAACAAAUAACAAACUGGUCACUUACAGCUUCUUGCUCUUCGCUUUUGCUGGGACUUUCAAAGCCCUCUUCAAAGAUGUCAUCUGUGGUAGGAUCACUGGCAUGGGAUGCAGAUGAUUUGGAUGGAGAGCUCUGUCUAGGGGCUGGGGUUGGAGCUACACAGAGACCACAGAAAAAGAGACAUCUUAAGUGCCUGGCUGCCAUGAAUGUAUCCCAAAGAAACCUCAGGAAUCUGCUUAUAUUGAAGUCAAAUCUUAGGAUUCCUCUUCCUAUUUCCAGUGGAAUCAGUUGAAUAUUUGAAUUCUCUCUCUGUACGUAUUGAUCUUUCCUCUCACACAUCUGACUUCAGGAAGGAGCUCGUCCACACUGAUAGGUAAGGCAGUGGUUCUCAAAGGAUGGUCCUUGGACAAGCAGCAGCAGUAGCAUCUGGGAAUUUGUUAGAAAUGAAAUUUUCUGACCCUACCCCAGAUCUACUGAAUCACAGACUCUGUGUUUGAACAACCUGCUACAGGUUAUUCUGAUGCAUGAUCAAGCUGAGAACUACUGGGCUAUGGUUUGCUUUCUUCUUUCUGUGUUUCAUCAGAGGGCACGUUAUUGAGCGCCUUUCAUGUGUCAAACACUGUUAGAAACUUUACAGACAAUAUCUCUAAUCCUCAUAAAACAUCUUUGAGGUAGAGGUUAUCCUAAUUUGACAGGUAAGGAAAGUGAAGUUUGCUAAUUUGCUCAUGGCAACUGGUAGAACCAGAUUCUGAAUCCUGGCACAUAGGAGGUAUUCAAUAAACACAUGUUGAAUAAAGAGAAAGUGUCUCAGUGAUCUGGGAAAAUGGAUGUAGCUGAUGGCAACUUCACAGCUGGUACUUGAUUCUAUAAGGACAAAGGAUACGCAUUUUCUGGGCUGACCCACCCACAUCUCCUCUCAUUUGUUUUAGAGGUUUAGAACAAAUAUGCCAUUUGAUACCACUCUUCUUUUAAUAAAUUCUAAUUUGUCACUGAAAAUACUGGUUACUGGCUAAGACCCAAGUGAGAGGGUGGCAUGACUUCAUUUAGCAGCUGAAUUUUCCUAAUGUUAUAGAACUUAGAAAUCAGACAGUGAAUGAUUGUAAAACUUAGUGCAUACUUUUUACUCUGAUGAAUCUAUAUAUAGAAAGAUGAUGCUAUUUCCUAACUUAUUAUUUAUAAUGUGCCAAUGAGUUGGACACUGUGCUAGGCACUUCCCAUUCAUUAUACACCUUAAUAUAAAUACCUGCAAGUUGUUAUCAUAACUUUUUUGUUUCCCAGAUGGAGAAAUUGCAGCUCAGGGAGGUGAGGUGUCUUGCGAAGGGUUAACACAGCUAUGAAAUAGCAGCACUGGCAUUUAACAGAGCUCUGUCUGACACUAUCCAGUCCAACUGUGCUUUUCUGUUUCUAUUUGAGGUUCACUUUUGAUCCAACCAAUCCUCUUCCCAAAACAUUCUUAAGGGGAUACUGAUGGGUCAGAGGAUAUAAAGACUGGUUCUAAUUUUGUUCAAAAUAAAACAGCAAGUUUUUGGAAAAAAAUUUGCAAUGAAAUCUGUUUUGUUUCAGGAGAUGACUAUGGAACAAACUGUAUUGAAAGUGGGUUUAAAGCUAUAUGCAAACACCCUGAAGGGUAGUAGAUGUUUAAUAAAUAUUAGCUUAAUUAGAUCCUGAAUUGUAUUUGAAGUGGAUUUUUGCUUACUAAAGGUUGAGAACACAAGCUGAGUUGCCAGUUCUGGCAGGUAUACUGCUCAGACUUACCUAAUGAAAUCAAUGGAAAGCAUAAGCAGGAGUUUAUUUAUGCAGGUGUCUUAAUCUUUAGAAGGCUUUAUAGGAUGCUGCUAAUACUCUAAAGCAGUGGUUCUCAGUCUGGGGCAAUUUCAUCCCUGGGGUACAUUUGGCAAUGCUUGGAGUCAUUUUUCUCGACACUAGAGGAAGGGGAUAUACGUUUCUCUCAUAGAGUGAUUAGAGGCCAGCGUUGCUGCUAAACAUCCUACAAUGGGACAGCCUCUGAAACAAAGAAUUAUCUGGCCCAACAUGUCCAUAGUGCCGAGGUUGCCAACGAUGCUCUAAAACAUAACAGUAGCUAAGUCAUCUCCAUUUUGUUUAUUUCAUUCUCUAUAACCUUUCCCAAAUGCCUCUCAUGUCCCAGGCACUAAGCUAGCAUUAUGAGAAGUGUAGGAAUGAUGGAGCCAGUUCCUGCCCUCAAAGAACUUAAACUCUCCUCUUUCAUUUGUAGCUGGCACACAAGUCCAUUGAAAGAGAGAUGUUUGUUUUUAAAAAGAUGCUUGCUUAUUUAUGCAUGGCUGUCAUUUCUUUAACAUUUCAUUUUUUAUUCAUUAUUCCUCAUUGAAACCCUGUGAGUCUGCAUAAAUAGAGAUGCUGCCACUAUGUAGAUCAUAUGGCCUGAGUGCAAGUGGGUUGUUUAUACACGUUAAGGGCAUUCAUUUUCAGAAUAGCAUUCUGAACCUGGCUGAAAUGGCACAAUCUAAUUGUAUUAACAUUAGGGGUGUUUUUUUUUGACAGUUCACAGUAUUGGCCAUGCAGUGAUCCAUAUCACCUGUGACAGUAAUGAAACCGCCAAACUCACUGCAGCAUGAGCCUUUUCUUUCCUCUUAUCAGGUGUCAAGGCACAGGCUGAGUCAUCAGAACACCUUCCCUGAAUUGUGUCAAACAAGUGUACAUGUGCUCAAGUGUAUCUGGAUUCUGAUUUGGCUGCACAGUCACUGUUUUCCAGAUGUUUGCAGAAGAAAUAUGAGCUGGAGGAGACUCACUGAAAGCUGGAACUAGAAGGAUGCACACUGCUCAUCCAAGCCAAUUCACUUAUUUUACCAAUGAUAAAACUGAGUCUCAGAGAAGUCAUACGCUUGCCCAAAGACACAGCUUGUGGUGGAGGAGUCAACACCAGAACUCUGGUCCAGGACUGCAAAAAAACACUUAACAUGUGCUAAUAAUGAGGAUAAAAGAUACUUCAAAUUCUGGGAGUUCUAUAAUGUUUGAGCACAUAUACCAUUGAAUCCUUUUAAUAACCCAUCGCUUACACAGAUGAGGAAACCAAGGCUCAUAGAAAUAAAGUGCUUUGCCAAAAGGCACAAAACUGGUCAGUAAUAAAUCUGAUCUCCAGGUUCCCAGUCCAGAACUUUCUGCAGCACUAUCUUUUUGUUCCCUUUAACUACCAGAAGCUUUAACCCAAAAUGAGGCUUCAACUAUAAAAGCUAUUUAAGACCUUAUGGCUGCGUAUCUCUGCCCUAAGUUUUCUCUUGAUCCUUAUUUUAUAUUCUAAUGUUUAAAACUUGUUCCCCAAAUUUUUAAAGUUUGCAUUCAUUUUAUUUCAAUAAGCCACGCCAAAAUCUGUGUGUCAUAAGCUAUCUAUACGUAAAUAAAUGAACGAAUGAAUGAGCAAACAAACAAAAUCUUAAGAGGCAGAGUAACAUGGUGGAAAAAUACCAGGCUUACAUUCAAUUCAAUACCACUUUGUCUAUUGUCUUCAUCUUUGAGCCUCACUUUCAUUAUCUGUCAAACAGGUCUAACAAAAUUUAUCAUUAAGCAUUAUUAUAAGUCUAAAAAUAAACAUGGAACAUAUGAA